Molecule: microRNA precursor, 98 nt
Filed under: Camelus bactrianus (Bactrian camel)
Lineage: Eukaryota; Metazoa; Chordata; Mammalia; Artiodactyla; Camelidae
Also listed under: 2 other names
Description: mir-544 microRNA precursor family
Rfam family: mir-544 microRNA precursor family
Source: Rfam by way of RNAcentral
AUCACCUGGAGAUCUUGCUGAAAUGCACAUUCUGAGUCAGCAGGGCUGGGGAAGGACCUGAGAUUCUGCAUUUCUAACAAGUCUCCAGGUGAUACUGA